This 276-nucleotide unclassified non-coding RNA is filed under the name Glomus sp. RNAcentral's name for it is "partial contains 5.8S ribosomal RNA and internal transcribed spacer 2". The stretch from base 1 to 72 matches the Rfam family "5.8S ribosomal RNA", at positions 84 to 154 of the family's 154-position model. The record is from RNAcentral. Lineage: Eukaryota; Fungi; Glomeromycota; Glomeromycetes; Glomerales; Glomeraceae.
GUGAAUCAUCAAAUUUUUGAACGCAAAUUGCACUCCCCGGCUUUCCGGGAGAGUAUGCCUGUUUGAGGUCCAGCCUAAAAAAAAUCGACAUUGUUGCUGAUUUAUGGUGUCUUUCGUCGGUGAUGGGUCAUCUUAAAUCUCGGUUUAAGCGACUUAAAAAUUUUUUUUACGAUUCUAAGAAUGUUUCUUAGAUUUUUCUUGUACGUUUAUUGUAUCUACUGUCUUAUUAGUAGUUGCCGUCAUAUCGGAUCGUUUCCAUACUUUUUUUCGUUCAUU